AGAGUUUGAUCCUGGCUCAGAUUGAACGCUGGCGGCAUGGCUAAAACAUGCAAGUCGAACGCGAAAUCACCUUCGGGUGAGAGUAGAGUGGCGAAAGGGCGAGUAAUGCGUUUCUAACGUGCCUCAGGGUCGAGGAUAGCCCAGGGAAACUUGGAUUAAUACUCGAUGACCCCGACAGGUCGCAUGACCCGUCGGGCAAAGGCUUGCUGUCCUGAGAUCGGGAAACGUGCUAUCAGCUUGUUGGUGAGGUAACAGCUCACCAAGGCUUAGACGGCUAGCGGGUGUGAGAGCAUGACCCGCCGCAUCGGGACUGAGACACUGCCCGGACUCCUACGGGAGGCUGCAGUAACGAAUCUUCCGCAAUGGGCGAAAGCCUGACGGAGCAAUGCCGCGUGUGGGAUGAAGCAUUUCGGUGUGUAAACCACUGUCAGGGGCUACCAACACAAUGAGGAACCCCAAAGGAAGGGCCGGCUAACUUCGUGCCAGCAGCCGCGGUAAUACGAAGGGCCCAAGCGUUAAUCGGAAUCACUGGGCUUAAAGGGUGCGUAGGCGGAUGUGCAAGUGUCUUGUGAAAUCCCACCGCUCAACGGUGGAAUGGCUGGGCAGACUGCAUACCUUGAGGUCGGUAGGGGCAGCCGGAACGCUAGGUGGAGCGGUGAAAUGCGUAGAUAUCUAGCGGAACGCCCAAGGAGAAGUCAGGCUGCUGGGCCGAUUCUGACGCUGAGGCACGAAAGCGUGGGUAGCGAACGGGAUUAGAUACCCCCGGUAGUCCACGCCCUAAACGAUGUGUACUAGAUGGUGAAGGGUUUGACGCCGGCACCAUCGAAGCUAAAGUGUUUAGUACACCGCCUGGGGAGUACGGUCGCAAGACUAAAACUCAAAGGAAUUGACGGGGGCUCACACAAGCGGUGGAGCAUGUGGCUUAAUUCGAAUCAACGCGAAGAACCUUAUCCAGGGUUUGACAUGUAUGGAUUAGCUCCUAGAAACAGGAGUAACGCGGCUUGCCGUGGAACAUACACAGGUGCUGCAUGGCUGUCGUCAGCUCGUGCUGUGAAGUGUCGGGUUAAGUCCCUUAACGAGCGAAACCCCUAUCGUUAGUUGCCAGCAGGCCUUCGGGCGCUGGGGACUCUAGCGAGACUGCCGGUGUCAAACCGGAGGAAGGUGGGGAUGACGUCAAGUCCUCAUGGCCUUUAUGCCCUGGGCUGCACGCGUGCUACAAUGCGGCGUACAGAGCGAAGCGAUACCGCAAGGUGGAGCAAAUCGCAAAAAGCGUCGCCCAGUUCAGAUUGUGGUCUGCAACUCGACCACAUGAAGUUGGAAUCGCUAGUAAUCGCGUAUCAGCUACGACGCGGUGAAUAAGUUCCUGAGCCUUGUACACACCGCCCGUCAAGUCACGGAAGCCGGGAGUGCCCGAAGUCGCACCGAUUCAGGUGUGCCUACGGCAAGCUCGGUGACUGGGACUAAGUCGUAACAAGGUA
Molecule: ribosomal RNA, 1478 nt
Filed under: metagenome
Description: bacterial SSU rRNA
Rfam family: Bacterial small subunit ribosomal RNA
Source: RNAcentral